This 345-nucleotide long non-coding RNA is filed under the name Helianthus annuus (common sunflower). Its description in RNAcentral is "sRNA HanXRQr2_Chr12g0547911". Lineage: Eukaryota; Viridiplantae; Streptophyta; Magnoliopsida; Asterales; Asteraceae. The record is from RNAcentral.
UUUAAACCUUCAAAGUGACCCCUAAACAACUCCUAAACACUAGGGACACAUGUUGGAAGGUUGGGGUUAGUUGGGGGACUUGUGUGUCAAAAUUUGUUGUGAAACCUUACUAUAAAAGGGCAUGUUUGGUUCAUAACCAACACACAACUCAAAACACACUCCUCUGGUCAUUCUAAAGGCUCUCAAGCAUUUCUCUGUAUACUCUAAGCAAGACCCAACUUCUAAUAGGAGUUAUGCCAAAUGGCGCAAAUUUCGGAACUUUGGAGCCCAGUAAAAGUACUUGCGACUACUGAUUAGAAUAUACGGCUGAGUUAUUAUUCUUGCUAUUUAAGACAGGAGCUAGCU